AUAGCCCUAUCAAAAGAAGUACCCCCAAGUGGAUCUCCUCUGUAUGUCAGGUCUGUCUGAAGAGCCUAGCCUUUUGACUGUUUUGCUCUGGGCAAAAGUGAAAUGUUGCAUUCUUCAAAUCCACUUGCUAUGACUUGAACACUGGAUCACUCUUCAAGCAGAAGAAAUUUUUUGAGAUUAUCUUCAGGUGACUGACCAUUUCAGUAGUCCCUUUACACAGAUGGAUACCUGUGUUAAUGGUGAUAUUAAUUUUUCGACCUCAGGAGAAGACUAUCCUUAUUUUCUCAAUGUCUUUCUUACACCAGGACUCUUCUGUGAAACUCGGCGUUCACACACUCCUAGAUGACACUGGAUGACAAAGUAUUUUAGAUGCAUAAGGUAGAU
Molecule: long non-coding RNA, 384 nt
Filed under: Manacus vitellinus (golden-collared manakin)
Lineage: Eukaryota; Metazoa; Chordata; Aves; Passeriformes; Pipridae
Description: lncRNA (ENSMVIG00005007730.1)
Source: RNAcentral